UAAAAUUUUAUUUUAUUUAUUAGUUAAAAAUUUUUAAUUUAAGAAAAAUUUAAUUUUAUUAUAAAAAAGAAAAAAUUAAUUUUAUUAUAGUUAAAAGUAUUGUAAAAGAAUAAUUUUAAUUUUAUAAAAGAAAAGUUUAUUUUUUGUACCUUGUGUAUCAGGGUUUAUUAAUUAAAAAUUAUGAAUUUAAUAAUCCCGAAUUUAAAAGAGCUAAAAAGUUAAAAUUUUUAAUGUAAAAUAAUUAUUUUAAAUAAUUUUUUAGUAAUGAAAUGUUAUUCGUUUUUAAAUAUAUCUGGUUUUUUAAGAAAUAAAUUUAAUUUAUUUAUUAUAAAUAUAAAAAUAUUUAAUUAUUUUUAUAUUAAUAAUAUAUUAUAUUUUUAGGGAUAAGCUUAAAAAUAUAUUAUUAAUAGAAUUUUUAAAUUAUAAAAAAUAAUUAGGAUUAAAAAUUUUCAUAUUUUAAAGUUUGUUAUAAUUUAUAUUUUUAUUAUAUUUUUUAUAUUUUCUAUAAGUUUUUUAUUAAAAUAUAAUUUUAAAUUAUAAAAAAUUAGUAAUAAUGAUAAAAUUAGUAUUUAUAUUUAUAAAUUUUUUAUAAUAUUAAAAGGUUAAAUAAAGGAAUUCGGCAAAUUAUUUUUCACCUGUUUAUUAAAAACAUGUCUUUUUGUUUUAUAUUUAAGGUCUAGCCUGCCCCCUGAAGUAUUUAAAUGGCCGCAGUAUUUUGACUGUGCUAAGGUAGCAUAAUCAUUAGUUUUUUAAUUGAAAGCUGGAAUGAAAGGUUGGAUGAAAAAAUAACUGUCUCUGUUUAAUUAUCAAUGAAUUUUAUUUUUAAGUUAAAAAGCUUAAAUAAUAUUAAAAGACGAGAAGACCCUAUAGAGUUUUAUAAUUUUAUUUUAUUAUAUAUUUAGAAUUAAUUUAUAUAAUAAAAUAAAUUUAUUUAAUUGGGGUGAUUGAAAAAUUUAAUGAACUUUUUAUUAUAAUUAUAUUAAUUUAUAAGUAUUUGAUCCAAAAAUAAUGAUUAUAAGAUAAAAUUACCUUAGGGAUAACAGCGUAAUUUUAUUAGAGAGUUCAAAUCGAUAAUAAAGAUUGCGACCUCGAUGUUGGAUUAAAAUUUAUAAUUGGUGCAGAAGCUAUAUUAUUAAGUCUGUUCGACUUUUAAAAUUUUACAUGAUCUGAGUUUAAACCGGUGUAAGCCAGGUUGGUUUCUAUCUUUAAUUAAAAAAUAUAUUUUAGUACGAAAGGACCAAAUAUUUAAAUAUUAUUUUUAUUUUGAUAA
Molecule: ribosomal RNA, 1270 nt
Filed under: Chapuisia ellenbergeri
Lineage: Eukaryota; Metazoa; Arthropoda; Insecta; Coleoptera; Chrysomelidae
Description: 16S ribosomal RNA
Rfam family: Archaeal large subunit ribosomal RNA (bases 1036-1194)
Source: RNAcentral